AAGAACAAAGAAAAGCAUUACCACCAAGUUGCAGUGACGGCACGAGAAUCUUUCCGAUUUUCUCUGAAACUAUGUCGUUGACGAAGGGCUCCAAGGCGGCUCAGGAUGUUAUCAGCUUCCUGCAGACUGUGGGGCGUCUCAAGGACACGGCCCGGCGGGGCUGGGUGGAAAACCAGAUUUGCAGUCCGGAGUCGGUUAGUGACCACAUGUACCGCAUGUCGCUUAUGUGCAUGAUGUGUCCUGACACCUCGCUGAACCGGGACAGGAUGAUCAAGAUGGCGCUCUGCCAUGAUACAGGCGAGAGCAUUAUCGGCGACAUCUCUCCCGCCAUGAAAGUCCCCAAGGAGGUAAAGAAGCAGCAGGAGUCGCAGGCGGUGCAGGACUUGUGCAACCUCGUGUCGUCCUCGCCGAGCACGACCUUCAGCAAGGAGCUGGGCGACUUGUUUGAAGAGUACGAGGCGCAGGAGACUGCCGAGUCUCACUUCGUAAAGGACAUGGACCUACUGGAGAUGGUUGUGCAGGCGCACAGCUACGAGUCCGUGAACCCAGGCAAGGACCUGGGCAGUUUCUUCAGGUCCGGCGCCAACAUCCACCAUCCGUGGGCCCGCGCCAUAUAUGAGACGCUUCUCGAGACGCGUCCGUACUUGGCAUACACGAAGGAGGAUCAGGCUAAGGAAGCGUCGAACAUGUGAAGAGGUUGGCCGGCUACGCGUGACAAGCGCGCGUGUUUCAUGUUUGCUUGCCCCAGCGCGCAUGUCUGUCUGCGCUCGUGUGCCCUUUCUUACGUGCUUGAAGACGUGGCAGGUACGCAGAUCUGCGAGGCACCAGCCCGCGUGCGUUAAUCGACUCGUGUGACAAGAGAGCUGUUUCUUUUCCCACACAAGAGCAGCGCGGGAGAAGCAAGUGCGAUGCUCCUCGAUGGUGCCCUGUGAGCUCUCGCUGCCCCACGCACACCUAAGCCCACUUCCCUUCAACCCCAAACCUGAUCGCAAAGGGGGGAGGGUGAUGGCGUGAGCUGCCGGGGUGCGUCGCGUGGCUCUGCAGUGGCAGCAGCGGUAGCGCCCCCUCUCGCCCCACCCUCCUUGCCCGACGGCCGGAGAUGCACCUUUGGCUGCGUCUGCCCUAUGUGUGUCAACAAGGAAUCCCCGCCGUGCCUGCCCCCGCACCGCCGUCUCUGUAUCGUCUUGUGAUCUCUCUUCUGCACUUCUUCUCCUUCGUCUCCUCGGGUGGGGCUGCCGCGUGCGUGCACACGCGCAACGCUUUCGUGCUCCACACUCAACGCCCAG
This 1286-nucleotide unclassified non-coding RNA is filed under the name Leishmania donovani. Its description in RNAcentral is "gene:LdHU3.35.5390(CDS-product:HD_domain_containi ng_protein_putative)". Lineage: Eukaryota; Euglenozoa; Kinetoplastea; Trypanosomatida; Trypanosomatidae. The record is from RNAcentral.